AACUAAUGAACUUGUAAAGUAUAUAUUUUGAAAGUAUAAUAAAGAGGUGCCAAUUCUCUAUUAGUUU
This 67-nucleotide transfer RNA is filed under the name Epicauta emmerichi. RNAcentral's name for it is "Denierella emmerichi tRNA-Ser". Lineage: Eukaryota; Metazoa; Arthropoda; Insecta; Coleoptera; Meloidae. The record is from RNAcentral.